Molecule: ribosomal RNA, 440 nt
Filed under: uncultured bacterium
Lineage: Bacteria
Description: partial 16S ribosomal RNA
Rfam family: Bacterial small subunit ribosomal RNA
Source: RNAcentral
CCUACGGGAGGCAGCAGUGGGGAAUAUUGCACAAUGGGGGAAACCCUGAUGCAGCGACGCCGCGUGAGUGAAGAAGUAAUUCGUUAUGUAAAGCUCUAUCAGCAGGGAAGAAAAUGACGGUACCUGAGUAAGAAGCCCCGGCUAACUACGUGCCAGCAGCCGCGGUAAUACGUAGGGGGCAAGCGUUAUCCGGAUUUACUGGGUGUAAAGGGAGCGUAGACGGCAGUGCAAGUCUGGAGUGAAAGGCGGGGGCUCAACCCCCGGACUGCUCUGGAAACUGUACGGCUGGAGUGCAGGAGGGGGAAGGGGAAUUCCCGGUGUAGCGGUGAAAUGCGGAGAUAUCAGGAGGAACACCGGCGGCGAAGGCGGCUUACUGGACUGGAACUGACGUUGAGGCUCGAAGGCGUGGGGAGCAAACAGGAUUAGAUACCCUUGUAGUC